Molecule: ribosomal RNA, 1530 nt
Filed under: Candidatus Cardinium hertigii
Lineage: Bacteria; Pseudomonadati; Bacteroidota; Cytophagia; Cytophagales; Amoebophilaceae
Description: bacterial SSU rRNA
Rfam family: Bacterial small subunit ribosomal RNA
Source: RNAcentral
AUAGAAAGAAGAGUUUGAUCCUGGCUCAGGAUAAACGCUAGCGGCAGGCCUCAUACAUGCAAGUCGAGGGGCAGCGGAACACUUCGGUGUUGCCGGCGACCGGCGCACGGGUGCGUAAUGCGUAUGCAAUCUACUUUACACUGGGGCAUAGCUUCCGGAAACGGAAAUUAAUACCCCAUAUAAUCUUAUUAACGCCUGUUAAAAAGAUGAAAGCUCCGGCGGUGUAAAAUGAGCAUGCGUCCUAUUAGCUAGUUGGAGAGGUAAUGGCUCACCAAGGCGAUGAUGGGUAGGGGUUCUUAGUGGAAGGUCCCCCACACUGGCACUGAGAUACGGGCCAGACUCCUACGGGAGGCAGCAGUAGGGAAUAUUGGUCAAUGGGCGCAAGCCUGAACCAGCCAUGCCGCGUGCAGGAUGAAGGCUCUCUGAGUUGUAAACUGCUUUUGUAUAGGAACAAAAAAGCUUCUGCGGAGGUUCUUGAGGGUACUAUAAGAAUAAGCACCGGCUAAUUCCGUGCCAGCAGCCGCGGUAAUACGGAAGGUGCAAGCGUUAUCCGGUUUUAUUGGGUUUAAAGGGUGCGUAGGCGGUUUAUUAAGUCAGUUGUGAAAUCCUAGUGCUUAACGCUAGAACUGCAAUUGAUACUGGUAGACUUGAGUUAAGAAGAGGUAAGUAGAAUUUAUGGUGUAGUAGUGAAAUGCUUAGAUAUCAUAAGGAAUACCAAUAGCGUAGGCAGCUUACUGGUCUUUAACUGACGCUGAGGCACGAAAGCGUGGGGAGCAAACAGGAUUAGAUACCCUGGUAGUCCACGCCGUAAACGAUGAUCACUAGAUAUGCACGAUAUAUCGUGUGUGUUCAAGCGAAAGCGUUAAGUGAUCCACCUGGGGAGUAUACUCGCAAGGGUGAAACUCAAAGGAAUUGACGGGGGUCCGCACAAGCGGUGGAGUAUGUGGUUUAAUUCGUUAAUCCGCGAGGAACCUUACCUGGGCUAGAAUGUAUUUUGCAACCUCGAGAAAUUGAGGGUUCCUUCGGGACGGAAUACAAGGUGCUGCAUGGCUGUCGUCAGCUCGUGCCGUGAGGUGUUGGGUUAAGUCCUAUAACGAGCGCAACCCUUUUACUUAGUUGCCAGCACGUAAUGGUGGGGACUUUAAGUAGACUGCCCGUGUAAGCGGGAGGAAGGAGAGGAUGAGGUCAAGUCAUCAUGGCCUUUAUGCCCAGGGCUACACACGUACUACAAUGGCAUGUACAGAAGGAAGCUACUUGGUAACAAGAUGCAAAUCUUAAAAGCAUGUCUCAGUUCGGAUUGGGGUCUGCAAUUCGACCCCAUGAAGUUGGAAUCGCUAGUAAUCGCGUAUCAGCAAUGACGCGGUGAAUACGUUCUCGGACCUUGUACACACCGCCCAUCAAGCCAUGGGAGUUGGUAGAGCUUGAAGACAGUGGCCGUAAAAGGAGCUGUUUAGUGUUAGACCAGCGACUGGGGCUAAGUUGUAACAAGGUAGCCGUACCGGAAGGUGUGGCUGGAACACCUCCUUUAUA